UAUGUGAUCGUCUCUCGCAUAUCAAUAAGCGGAGGAAAAGAAACUAACAAGGAUUCCCCUAGUAACGGCGAGUGAAGCGGGAAGAGCUCAAAUUUGAAAUCUUAAAGGGUUUCCCUUUACGAAUUGUAGUUUAAAGAAGUGUUUUCUGUUGAGGUUUUGGUAAAAGUUCUUUGGAAUAGGACAUCAUAGAGGGUGAGAAUCCCGUAUUUGACCUUUACUUUCAACUUUGUGAUACACUUUCAAAGAGUCGGAUUGUUUGGGAAUGCAGUCCAAAAUGGGUGGUAAAUUUCAUCUAAAGCUAAAUAUUGGCGAGAGACCGAUAGCGAACAAGUACCGUGAGGGAAAGAUGAAAAGAACUUUGAAAAGAGAGUUAAACAGUACGUGAAAUUGUCAAAAGGGAAGCGUUUGACACCAGUGUUGUUUUUCUGAAAAUCAAUUAAAGAACUGUUUAUGCUAAGUUGCUUAGACUUUAUCAGCUAACUGUUUAGUUUUGAGCUUUUCUUUAAUGCACUUUUCAGUUAACAAGUCAACAUCAAUUUCUUUUGCUGUAAAAAAGCUUGAGGAAGGUGGCUUGAGAUUCGUCUUAAGUGUUUAUAGCCUCUUGCCUAUGCAGUCGGAGAGAUUGAGGUCUGCAGCGUAGAUCCUUCGGGGCUAAAUGCAUUUGUGCUAAGUUAUAGCAUUUUAUAGACAACUUGUUGACUAUGAUUUGUCUUGUAGCUUACUCGCUUAUGUUAUUUUACCUACGCUUAGGAUGUUGAGUAGCGACAUACGCAC
RNAcentral lists this ribosomal RNA (774 nucleotides) under uncultured Neocallimastigales. RNAcentral describes it as "partial large subunit ribosomal RNA". It matches the Rfam family "Eukaryotic large subunit ribosomal RNA", at positions 24 to 649 of the family's 3401-position model. Lineage: Eukaryota; Fungi; Neocallimastigomycota; Neocallimastigomycetes; Neocallimastigales. The record is from RNAcentral.